This 116-nucleotide ribosomal RNA is filed under the name Candidatus Uhrbacteria bacterium. Lineage: Bacteria; Candidatus Uhriibacteriota. The record is from RNAcentral.
CCUGGUGCCUCGAGCGGCGGGGCCACACCCGUUCCCAUCCCGAACACGGCCGUUAAGCCCGUCAGCGCCGAUGAUACUCUAGUACAUGCUAGGGGGAAAGUAGGCCGGCGCCGGGG